AUGAACGCUGGCGGCGUGCCUAAUACAUGCAAGUCGAGCGAACGGACGAGAAGCUUGCUUCUCUGAUGUUAGCGGCGGACGGGUGAGUAACACGUGGAUAACCUACCUAUAAGACUGGGAUAACUUCGGGAAACCGGAGCUAAUACCGGAUAAUAUUUUGAACCGCAUGGUUCAAAAGUGAAAGACGGUCUUGCUGUCACUUAUAGAUGGAUCCGCGCUGCAUUAGCUAGUUGGUAAGGUAACGGCUUACCAAGGCAACGAUGCAUAGCCGACCUGAGAGGGUGAUCGGCCACACUGGAACUGAGACACGGUCCAGACUCCUACGGGAGGCAGCAGUAGGGAAUCUUCCGCAAUGGGCGAAAGCCUGACGGAGCAACGCCGCGUGAGUGAUGAAGGUCUUCGGAUCGUAGAACUCUGUUAUUAGGGAAGAACAUAUGUGUAAGUAACUGUGCACAUCUUGACGGUACCUAAUCAGAAAGCCACGGCUAACUACGUG
RNAcentral lists this ribosomal RNA (496 nucleotides) under uncultured bacterium. Its description in RNAcentral is "partial 16S ribosomal RNA". It matches the Rfam family "Bacterial small subunit ribosomal RNA", at positions 29 to 507 of the family's 1533-position model. The record is from RNAcentral.